RNAcentral lists this ribosomal RNA (465 nucleotides) under uncultured bacterium. Its description in RNAcentral is "partial 16S ribosomal RNA". It matches the Rfam family "Bacterial small subunit ribosomal RNA", at positions 28 to 507 of the family's 1533-position model. The record is from RNAcentral.
GAUGAACGCUGGCGGCGUGCUUAACACAUGCAAGUCGAACGGACAGGCUCCUGCUUGCCGGUGUCCUCCAGUUGCGAACGGGUGAGUAACCCAUGGGUGAUCUGCGCUGCACUUCGGGAUAAGCCUGGGAAACUGGGUCUCAUACCGGGGAGGACGACGGGUUGGAUGCCGUUGUGGAGAGUUCUUCGGUGUGGCAUGAGCUCGCGGCCUUUCAGAUGGUUGGUGGGGUAAUGGCCUAGCAAGGCGUCGACGGGGAGGCGGGCUGAGAGGGUGUAAGGCCAAAUUGGGACGGAGAUACGGCACAGACUACUACGGGACGCAGCGGAGGAGAAUAGUGCAUUAUGGGAGGAAGGCUGGUGUAGCGAAGCAGCGUGGCGGGUGAGGGCCUUCGGGUUGUAAACUACUUUCGCUAGAGAGGAAGAGAAAGUGACGGUACCUGAUGAAGAAGCCCCGGCUAACUACGUG